CUCAUGUCUGCUUGCGGGUAGUGGACAAGCAGUUUUUCCCUCUGAACUAGACACGGAGACCCCUCUGGCCUCAUCUCCCACCUCCUAGGGCCCAGACUGGGUGCUCCCGGGACUGAGCCUGGCUGCUCAUCCCCCGGCCCCAGGGCCCUCCGUGCAUGCUGAAAGAGAGAAGGAGGGAAGCGUUCUCAUUCGCUGGAGCUGCAAACAAACCACCCACUGUGUGGCUCAGGCUUGUUUUAAACAUCACGGAGCCCUGAGCAGAAGGGAAGGCCCAGGGCCAUGCUGGGAAGCCGGCGAGAAGCUCCGAGGGCAGCCACAAGAGGUCUGAAGCUUGCUACGACAAGUAAAGAUCAAAUCAGAAGCUGAACGCCCUGAGGCUUUGAAAGAUAGAGAGUGAUUUGUGGCCCCUCCAGUGAAAAGGCUGCUGCCAUUGUUAACAACCUCUGUUCCCGCUUUCUCCGCCAUGCUGGGUGCCGGAGCGCACUGUGUUCCAAGAAGUGAUGCCCGACCAUCUCCAGAGCAGCGUGGACUCCAGGGCGGGCAACGGGCCUCUGCCACAUCACCUGCAGAGCCGACGGGAGGAAACGGCUCCGAGGCCCAGGGCAGGUAGACUCGGGCAGCCUGGGCCUGGGGUCUGGAAGACUCGGCCUCCAGGACGUGAUUCGUUGCUCUGGCCGCGGCUUCCGGCUGCUCCCGGUGCCCCCAGUUUGGCCUCACCCUCUGCUCCUGGGCCCCAGGCCCUCCCACUCUCACUGGCCCGUCCUCGGAGGGGCCAGAAGGGCCUGCCGCCCUCUCGGCCAGGGAUGGCUGAGCGCAGGCCUUCGUAGCCCUCUGGCAGGCCUGCACAUUGAAUGCACUCACAUCCCAAAGAGAAUCGAAUUUCUUUACCAUUCCUUGUAAUUUCCUGGUAAUCACAUCACACGGGGGAACUUCCAGGAAGUGGACGACUAAGAUAAACAUGGUUUCCAAAUGUUGUAAACACAAUGUUGUAAAAGAUGCAACGAUGAUAGGGACGUAACAGCGUGUUCUGCCCUGUGCACGGUCACUUGACGGACAGACACCCGGCAGUGACCCGGACACACAGUGGUCACGGACAAAUCUCACAGACACGAGCUCAGGAAGCCAGACACAAAACAGACGCACU
Molecule: long non-coding RNA, 1144 nt
Filed under: Equus asinus (donkey)
Lineage: Eukaryota; Metazoa; Chordata; Mammalia; Perissodactyla; Equidae
Description: lncRNA (ENSEASG00005026666.1)
Source: RNAcentral